UACGUAGGGGGCAAGCGUUGUCCGGAAUCAUUGGGCGUAAAGAGCGCGUAGGCGGCCAGAUAAGUCCGGUGUGAAAGUCACAGGCUCAACCUGUGAAUGCCGCUGGAAACUGUCUGGCUAGAGUCCGGUAGGGGCGAGUGGAAUUCCUGGUGUAGCGGUGAAAUGCGCAGAUAUCAGGAGGAACACCGGUGGCGAAGGCGGCAUCCUGGACCAACACUGACGCUGAGGAGCGAAAGCCAGGGGAGCAAACGGG
Molecule: ribosomal RNA, 253 nt
Filed under: uncultured bacterium
Lineage: Bacteria
Description: partial 16S ribosomal RNA
Rfam family: Bacterial small subunit ribosomal RNA
Source: RNAcentral